GAUGAACGCUAGCGGCAGGCUUAACACAUGCAAGUCGAGGGGCAGCAUAAUGGAUAGCAAUAUCUAUCGUGGCGACCGGCGCACGGGUGCGUAACGCGUAUGCAACCUACCUUUAACAGGGGGAUAACACUGAGAAAUUGGUACUAAUACCCCAUAAUAUCAUAGAAGGCAUCUUUUAUGGUUGAAAAUUCCGAUGGUUAGAGAUGGGCAUGCGUUGUAUUAGCUAGUUGGUGGGGUAACGGCUCACCAAGGCGACGAUACAUAGGGGGACUGAGAGGUUAACCCCCCACACUGGUACUGAGACACGGACCAGACUCCUACGGGAGGCAGCAGUGAGGAAUAUUGGUCAAUGGACGCAAGUCUGAACCAGCCAUGCCGCGUGCAGGAUGACGGCUCUAUGAGUUGUAAACUGCUUUUGUACGAGGGUAAACGCAGAUACGUGUAUCUGUCUGAAAGUAUCGUACGAAUAAGGAUCGGCUAACUCCGUG
This 488-nucleotide ribosomal RNA is filed under the name uncultured bacterium. RNAcentral's name for it is "partial 16S ribosomal RNA". It matches the Rfam family "Bacterial small subunit ribosomal RNA", at positions 28 to 507 of the family's 1533-position model. The record is from RNAcentral.